CGCGGGAAUUCGAUUAGAGUUUGAUCAUGGCUCAGAUUGAACGCUGGCGGCAGGCCUAACACAUGCAAGUCGAGCGGCAGCGGGGGGAAGCUUGCUUCCCGCCGGCGAGCGGCGGACGGGUGAGUAAUGUCUGGGGAUCUGCCCGAUGGAGGGGGAUAACCACUGGAAACGGUGGCUAAUACCGCAUAACCUCUUUGGAGUAAAGUGGGGGACCUUCGGGCCUCACGCCAUCGGAUGAACCCAGAUGGGAUUAGCUAGUAGGUGGGGUAAUGGCUCACCUAGGCGACGAUCCCUAGCUGGUCUGAGAGGAUGACCAGCCACACUGGGACUGAGACACGGCCCAGACUCCUACGGGAGGCAGCAGUGGGGAAUAUUGCACAAUGGGCGCAAGCCUGAUGCAGCCAUGCCGCGUGUAUGAAGAAGGCCUUCGGGUUGUAAAGUACUUUCAGCGGGGAGGAAGGCAACAGCGUGAAUAGCGUUGUUGAUUGACGUUACCCGCAGAAGAAGCACCGGCUAACUCCGUGCCAGCAGCCGCGGUAAUACAAUCACUAGUGAAUUCGCGGCCGCCUGCAGGUCGACCAUAUGGGAGAGCUCCCAACGCGUG
This 604-nucleotide ribosomal RNA is filed under the name uncultured Gammaproteobacteria bacterium. RNAcentral's name for it is "bacterial SSU rRNA". It matches the Rfam family "Bacterial small subunit ribosomal RNA", at positions 1 to 605 of the family's 1533-position model. The record is from RNAcentral. Lineage: Bacteria; Pseudomonadati; Pseudomonadota; Gammaproteobacteria.